This 253-nucleotide ribosomal RNA is filed under the name uncultured bacterium. RNAcentral describes it as "partial 16S ribosomal RNA". It matches the Rfam family "Bacterial small subunit ribosomal RNA", at positions 524 to 776 of the family's 1533-position model. The record is from RNAcentral.
UACAGAGGGUGCAAGCGUUAAUCGGAAUUACUGGGCGUAAAGCGUGCGUAGACGGUUGCGUAAGUCAGAUGUGAAAGCCCCGGGCUCAACCUGGGAAUCGCAUUUGAGACUGCGUAGCUAGGGUGCGGAAGAGGGAAGCGGAAUUUCCGGUGUAGCGGUGAAAUGCGUAGAUAUCGGAAGGAACACCAGUGGCGAAAGCGGCUUCCUGGUCCAGCACCGACGUUCAGGCACGAAAGCGUGGGGAGCAAACAGG